AGGCAGAGAGAAGGAUAGUCAGAUUGCGUAGCAGGGUUAGGUGGGUUUCCGUGCUAAGUACAGCAAUUGCGCACGGUCCCUUACGUAACUGUCAGCUGGGGAUUCCCUAGAGGGGGUCACUGUAUUCAACCAUUACACAGACCCCUGCCGCCGUUCCAACACGCCUGGGCUGCCGUUGCCGCCGCUACUGAGGCUGCGGCUGCAGCUACAACGGCGGCUCCUCACAAAAUGGCGGCGCCCAUGGACGCGGCAGCAGCCCCAUUUUGUGCCCACAGAGCUGUCAACAAAACACGGACUCGGCCGGGGCAGAGACGCAGAAGUCGGCGGCGAAGCGACGUUAUGGGGAGCGAGGGACUUCACCAGCUUCUCGUCCCCGAGAAGAGACUUUCUCUAAAGCGUGCGCGCACUGGGCGGGGGAGGCGAGCAGCGGACGAAGCGGCGAAUUGAGCGCUGGGACCAGCAGGGAGCGAGAGCUCUGCGGGGACCUUCCGGAGCUGUGGCUCCGUGGUCGGGGCGAUGGUCCUGCCCUGUGCGAUCCGGGAUGCUCGGCAGCAAGGCGCUGCCCCGGUCUCGCCGGCGGGGACAGGGAGGUUCCCCGUGGGGGAUAGGUCUUGGACAGUGGGGAUGGGAGCGGAUUUGCUGUCUCCUCCUGGAGAUCUUGUUCCGGGCUCGCUCCUUGCUCUUAAACCUCUCCCUUCUUGAGCUCGUGGUUGGCAGCCCAGUUUAUGUAACUUUAUUGCUGUAGGAAUCUUGCAAACCUGCAAGGAGCUGCAGGAAGAUCUGGAUUCUUAGUUUAGUUAAUUAGGUCAAUUUCAGCAUUUAAUUACUGUUUGCUUCUUUUUAGUGCGUGCCUUUGGAAUCGGCCUAUUAGGUUGAUGCUUCAGUUUACAUUAGCUAACAGCAAGCUCCCUACCUUACCUCAAAGGCUGCUUGGAGGGGAGUGGGGAAGAGAAGAGCAAAGGGCCCAGAGCUGCAGCUGGGAGUUCCUGGGCUUUCACUCCUCAGUCCUAGUAUCAAUCCAUGAGGAAAAUCUGUACUUUGGAGAUUUUAAAAAUAAUAGAAGAAUCGGUGAGAGAGGUGGCAGUGACCAGAUUAAGGUUGAGCAACACAGGAAACAGAAUGCCACAUAUUUAUUGCAUGCUGUUUCUUGAUAGAUAUAUGCCAAACUACCCCCUUCACCACAGCAUGGGCCGGAAAGGAGGACUUACUCAACAAAAGUACAGGUAGCGUUGGCAUUUAAACUACAGUGCCUGUAUUUCUACCUAUUAAAAGAUAUGUUUUGAAAGAACUAGAUAUCUAUAACUAGACACAAGUGGCUUAAAGUAGAAAUGAAAAAGAGCAAUCCUGUUUAUGUACCUUACUAGCUUACAUACCUGGGUAAUCAUCCUCUUGAGCAUUACAGCAUGUAGCAGUAUCCACUCUCAUAGCAAGAUGUCAGAACAACUAUAAGAUUUUUAAGGGGAAGAGGACUUUGGAAGAACUUCUUCAAGAUAGGUGAGCACAGGAGGGUAACAAUUACCUCAAUGGAAGAGCCAGGUAGAAUUAAGAUGGUAUGUGUUAAUAGUGCUAAAGCACAAGACAGAUUCUACUAGCAGCUGCAGAGACAACAACUGCUGUACAAAAUAUCAUUGCAGGAGGCUUGUUUCUUGAAGGACAUCAGUAUGGGAAUACAGUGGGUGGUCAGUACUCCACUAAUUUACUCUUUAAGAAGUUAUCGUUAGCAACAACAGUAAAUAUAUAAUACAAAUACAGUAGAAUGGGAGGG
Long non-coding RNA from Chrysemys picta bellii (western painted turtle), 1765 nucleotides. The record is from Ensembl. NCBI's taxonomy places the organism in Eukaryota, Metazoa, Chordata, Testudines, Emydidae.